Molecule: ribosomal RNA, 441 nt
Filed under: uncultured Prevotella sp.
Lineage: Bacteria; Pseudomonadati; Bacteroidota; Bacteroidia; Bacteroidales; Prevotellaceae
Description: bacterial SSU rRNA
Rfam family: Bacterial small subunit ribosomal RNA
Source: RNAcentral
GGAGGAAUAUUGGUCAAUGGGCGCAAGCCUGAACCAGCCAAGUAGCGUGAGGGAAGACUGCCCUACGGGUUGUAAACCUCUUUUGUUUGGGAAUAAAGUGCGGGACGCGUCCCGCAUUGCAUGUACCAUUUGAAUAAGGACCGGCUAAUUCCGUGCCAGCAGCCGCGGUAAUACGGAAGGUCCGGGCGUUAUCCGGAUUUAUUGGGUUUAAAGGGAGCGAGCGCCUGGGUUAAGCGUGUUGUGAAAUGUCGUUGCUCAACAACGUCACUGCAGCGCGAACUGCCGGGCUUGAGUGUGCGGAAAGCGGGCGGAAUUUGUGGUGUAGCGGUGAAAUGCUUAGAUAUCACGAAGAACUCCGAUUGCGAAGGCAGCUCGCUGUAGCAUUACUGACGCUGAAGCUCGAAGGUGCGGGUAUCGAACAGGAUUAGAUACCCUGGUAGU